UCUCAAGACUGGCCAGAGAUCACAAAGUAUGCUGGAUUGGUUUCUGCUCAGGCCCAUCGACAGGAGUUGAUUCAAGAUCUGUUUAAAGUUUGGCAAGACCCUCAGCGAGGAACUGUUAGCGGCGGCAUGAUUAAGGAGCUGCUUAUAUCUUUCAAAAGAGAAACCGGUCAAAAGCCGAAGAGAAUCAUAUUUUACAGGGAUGGUGUGAGU
RNAcentral lists this unclassified non-coding RNA (210 nucleotides) under Hevea brasiliensis (rubber tree). The record is from RNAcentral. Lineage: Eukaryota; Viridiplantae; Streptophyta; Magnoliopsida; Malpighiales; Euphorbiaceae.